This 1046-nucleotide ribosomal RNA is filed under the name Xylariaceae sp. genotype 110. Its description in RNAcentral is "eukaryotic LSU rRNA". The stretch from base 462 to 1046 matches the Rfam family "Eukaryotic large subunit ribosomal RNA", at positions 1 to 596 of the family's 3401-position model. The record is from RNAcentral. Lineage: Eukaryota; Fungi; Ascomycota; Sordariomycetes; Xylariales; Xylariaceae.
CUGCUACCCUGUAGGACCUACCCUGGACCUACCCCGUAGCUGCUACCCGGUAAGCACGCUAAACGGCCUGCCGGCGGUCUUCUAAACUCUUGUCAGUUAUUGUGAAAUUCUGAAUAUCUAAAACAUAAUAAGUUAAAACUUUCAACAACGGAUCUCUUGGUUCUGGCAUCGAUGAAGAACGCAGCGAAAUGCGAUAAGUAAUGUGAAUUGCAGAAUUCAGUGAAUCAUCGAAUCUUUGAACGCACAUUGCGCCCAUUAGUAUUCUAGUGGGCAUGCCUGUUCGAGCGUCAUUUUGACCCUUAAGCCCCUGUUGCUUAGUGUUGGGAGUCUACGACUAUGGCGUAGCUCCUUAAAGUUAGUUGGCGGAGUUAGGGUAUACUCUCAGCGUAGUAAAAAUUUUCCUCGCUUUUGUAGUUAUCCCAACUAUAGCCAUUAAACCCUUUUAUUUUUUUUCUAAAGGUUGACCUCGGAUCAGGUAGGAAUACCCGCUGAACUUAAGCAUAUCAAUAAGCGGAGGAAAAGAAACCAACAGGGAUUGCCUUAGUAACGGCGAGUGAAGCGGCAACAGCUCAAAUUUGAAAUCUGGCCUUCGGGUCCGAGUUGUAAUUUGUAGAGGAUGCUUUUGGCGCGGUGCCUUCCAAGUUCCCUGGAACGGGACGCCUUAGAGGGUGAGAGCCCCGUACGGUUGGACGCCUAGCCUCUGUAAAGCUCCUUCGACGAGUCGAGUAGUUUGGGAAUGCUGCUCUAAAUGGGAGGUAAACUUCUUCUAAAGCUAAAUACCGGCCAGAGACCGAUAGCGCACAAGUAGAGUGAUCGAAAGAUGAAAAGCACUUUGAAAAGAGGGUUAAAUAGCACGUGAAAUUGUUGAAAGGGAAGCGUUUGCGACCAGACUUUCUCUAGGCGGAUCAUCCGGUGUUCUCACCGGUGCACUUCGCCUAGUUUAGGCCAGCAUCGGUUUCUGUAGGGGGAUAAAGGCCUGGGGAAUGUGGCUCCCUCGGGAGUGUUAUAGCCCCUUGCGUAAUACCUUUGCGGGGACCGAGGACCGC